AGCAGCCGCGGUAAUUCCAGCUCCAAUAGCGUAUAUUAAAGUUGUUGCAGUUAAAAAGCUCGUAGUUGAAUUUCGGGAUCAAUACGUCGGUCGUGCUUAGGUACGUACUGGCGUAAUUGAUUUCUCCCUUCUGACGAACCAUGAUGUCAUUAACUUGGUGUCAUGGGAAAUCAGGACUGUUACUUUGAAAAAUUAGAGUGUUUAAAGCAGGCUCACGCUUGAAUACAUUAGCAUGGAAUAAUGAAAUAGGACGUUCGAUCCUAUUUUGUUGGUUUUUAGGAUCAACGUAAUGAUUAAUAGGGAUAGUUGGGGGCAUUAGUAUUCAAUUGUCAGAGGUGAAAUUCUUGGAUUUAUUGAAGACUAACUACUGCGAAAGCAUUUGCCAAGGAUGUUUUCAUUAAUCAAGAACGAAAGUUAGGGGAUCGAAGACGAUCAGAUACCGUCGUAGUCUUAACCAUAAACUAUGCCGACUAGGGAUCGGAUGAUGUUAAUUUUUAAUGACUCAUUCGGCGCCUUAAC
RNAcentral lists this ribosomal RNA (519 nucleotides) under uncultured Glomus. Its description in RNAcentral is "SSU rRNA". It matches the Rfam family "Eukaryotic small subunit ribosomal RNA", at positions 569 to 1092 of the family's 1831-position model. Lineage: Eukaryota; Fungi; Glomeromycota; Glomeromycetes; Glomerales; Glomeraceae. The record is from RNAcentral.